GGCUGGGAUAUAGCUCAGUUAGUAGAGUGCUUACCUCAUAUGCACAAGGUCCUGGGUUCAAUCCCCAGCCAGUUA
Molecule: transfer RNA, 75 nt
Filed under: Marmota monax (woodchuck)
Lineage: Eukaryota; Metazoa; Chordata; Mammalia; Rodentia; Sciuridae
Description: tRNA.Met
Source: RNAcentral